CCUACGGGUGGCAGCAGUGGGGAAUAUUGCACAAUGGGCGAAAGCCUGAUGCAGCGAAGCCGCGUGAAGGAUGAAGUACUUCGGUAUGUAAAGCUCUAUCAGCAGGGAAGAAAAUGACGGUACGUGAGUAAGAAGCCACGGAUAACUACGUGCCAGCAGCCGCGGUAAUACGGAGGGGGCAAGCGUUAUCCGGAUUUACUGGGUGUAAAGGGAGCGUAGAGGGGGUUUCAAGUCAGUAGUGAAAGUCGGGGGCUCAACCCCCGGAAUGCAAUUGAAACUGGAUGGCUUGAGUGCAGGAGAGGUAAGUGGAAUUCGUAGUGUAGCGGUGAAAUGCGUAGAUAUUAGGAGGAACACCAGUUGCGAAGGCGGCUUACUAGACUGUGACUGACGUUGAGGCUCGAAAGUGUGGGUAGCAAACAGGAUUAGAUACCCCAGUAGUC
RNAcentral lists this ribosomal RNA (440 nucleotides) under uncultured bacterium. Its description in RNAcentral is "partial 16S ribosomal RNA". It matches the Rfam family "Bacterial small subunit ribosomal RNA", at positions 338 to 795 of the family's 1533-position model. The record is from RNAcentral.